AUAUACGUCUUUUUAAAAGUAAAACAUAUUCAAGAUGAGUGACUCAGCUGCAAAAGGACGUCCCAUGAGAUUUCCUUAUACAAUGACAGCCAGAAUUGCUCAAUUUCCAUACAAAUUUUACUGGAAUAAAAAUUGGCUCUUCAAAUAUUACAUCUUAGGCUUUCUUGUUUCAAUACCAAUUUUCAACAAAAUUGGAAAUGCCAGUUAUAGUCCUGAGAAUGUGAAGAUGUGGGAGGAAAUUCGAAGGAAGCGUUUUUCAGGAGAACAUCAUUAAUAUUUACAUAUAUAUGUAAUUCAUUAGUAGUAGUUUGGAUGCUGAACUUGAAGAAAACAAAAAUACAACCCAAGAAAUCAGUUUAAAUUGUAUGAAUGAUUAAAGUAAAUAAAUUUCUGUAAGACAGUUA
Molecule: RNA transcript, 404 nt
Organism: Cimex lectularius (bed bug)
Lineage: Eukaryota; Metazoa; Arthropoda; Insecta; Hemiptera; Cimicidae
Exons: 3
Source: RefSeq, a predicted model, not a curated record